Cervus hanglu yarkandensis (Yarkand deer) is the source of this 3084-nucleotide long non-coding RNA. Lineage: Eukaryota; Metazoa; Chordata; Mammalia; Artiodactyla; Cervidae. The record is from Ensembl.
CCUCGACCGCCGGCGACCUGGGCUAGCCAGCCGGAGCCUUCCCGGGGCUCGGCCCGCCCCCCGGAGGCCCUCAUUGGACCGGCUCCGAAUAGCUCUCCAUGAUUGGAGAGCGCUGGCCCGCAAUUACUUGAUUCUACCAAUCAGAUUGCUCGUCCUGACCCGACAGGUUGAAGGCUGUCCUUACGUCUGAGCCACCACCCACUCCCUUACCAUUGGCCGUCGGCAACCGCUUCGUCAAUUGAUUGGAGAAAGUGAAUGUCCAUCAGGGUCACGACGUUCUCGCGGUAAGGAGAGGCGAAAUCGGAAAGACGACUUCCCUCCGAAGGGUAGACGGGCCUACUGGGAUACUGCGGGAGGACUCGGGCAGGCGCUGGGCGGGGUUUUCGCAGCUCCGCGGAACGCCGGGAAGGGGUCACGUCCAGAUGAGGGUUCCGGUUCCGGUGCAGACGGCGGCAGCGGCGUUGCCACGGCAGCGCGGUGGGCAGGUACCUGGGUGGUGAGCUCGCGGUGUUGGAGGAGUUGGAGUUGGAGUUGGCCUCGGUCCUGCGUUGUCCGCUUAGACCCUCGACUUCAUUCACCGCUGCAUCUUCAAGUCAUUGAUUCCAGGUAAAUCAGAGGAACAGACAUCAUGAACAGAAAUAAUACAGGAAGUGAUGUGAUGUGGAAGUUUAACUGUUGUUCCAGAAGUCCAGCAUCUGUGGCACGUAACAUUAGGGACUGUAUCAUUUGCAUGGUCACCUAACUUUUACUCAUAUUGGGUUGGCCAGAAAGUUCAUUUGGUUUUCCUGUAAGCUGGGAAAACCCGCACGAAUUUUUUGGCCAACCCAAUACUUACAGUAAGUUUUGUGUUUGUUUUUUGUUUUUUUUUUAAUAAAUAUUGAGUUUGUUCCAGAAAACCUAAAUUGUUCAUUGCCUACUCUAAGCUGCCUGAUUCUCUUCUUGUGUUCACUGGAAUAGGGAGAAGAAUUUGCAAACCGGUUAUGAGAAUCCGAAAUGUAAAACUGGGUCAUGGGGAGUAGCCUGUUGUUUACCUGGUGUGUAAUAUUGGCUUUGCCAGUACAAUUGACAGACAUUGUAUUAAAUUGAGAAUAUAGCUGUCAUUAAAGACUUAAGAAUAAUCCUUGAGCAGGAAGAAUAUGAACUCUAUGUUUUCCAAACUUACGGUAGAGUUCCUGGUUAUAGUCAAGUAUGGUGAGACUGUGAAAGGCAAGGAUAUGGAAAAGCAAGCGGGGGUUCUUUCAAAGAGCGAAGUGGGAUGGCUUUGAUAGGAUGAUGAAGGGAAAGAGAUCAUGUAUCUACACCAAAGAAACUGAAACAAUACACCUAAAUUUAAGUUUUUUAAUAAAGUAACCUAAAAUAUAAAAUGUUGUAUGUGUUGAAUCUAUUCCUUUCUGUCUUUGACUUAAAACCACUCAUCAGGUGUUGGCACCAAACAUCAGUGAUUUAAAGAAUCAAAGAAAAUAGUAUUCAGAAUAUUUCCUCCAAAGCACCAGCCUCUUGUAUAUAACUUGGCAUCUGAAUUACCAACUUUCUCACUGGAGACUCUAUAGUGAACCUAUGACAAAAAUACACUUUUGAAACAGUUGUAAGGAGUCUACAUUUGUAUGCAAGUGCGUUUGGGGUUCUGAACAGGGACGUCACCCUCUUUAUCAGUUUGUGAUCUCUCCCUUGUGGACAUUAACAGGGAGGUGGGGGUGGGAAGUACAGGGAACUUAGAAUCCUGGGAUUUGGGUCAAAAGUGUAAUUUGGCCCCAAACUAAAUAAUCCUAAUAUGUAAACAUGCAUAUUAGGCAUCCUAAAAAUGUUUUUCUUCCCCAUGUUUAUUUAUAGAUAAGGCUUUACUAUAUUUAGUAAAAUUUCUCCUUUCUACUCACUCUGAAAGCAAAUGCACAGGUUGAACUCAUAGUUAAAACCUUAACAAAUCUGACAUCGUUUCUUCCUAUAUAUCAGCCCUAAACAAAAAGUCAGGAUUAUCCAGCCUAAAGAUGAAACUAUUUGAACACUUGGCAUGUGAGUGUUUUUCAUACCCUAACUUCAGUCCUGAGGUUCAUGCCGCCUUCUGACAGGGUGUGGUUAUUUUGUAUAGGACACAUGACCCAGAAACAUCCGGUAGGUCAGAGCUGGCCAGAGCAUUCUGUGUCAUUUUAAGAGAAAAGUGGCUACUUGUGUUGCAGGAUGGCUGGGGCCCCCAGACAUUCCUGAGCUAGAAUAGCAUUCGAGACCCAGAUUUCUGUAGACCUGAGCCAGAACCCAAGACCUUUCUCCAUGAUGACCUUAGCUCUUGAGUCAUUUUAGAGCAUCUCUGCAACCCUGAAAUUAACUUGAUUCCCUAAAAAUAAUGUGUAAGAAAAUGUGUGGCAGUGCCCAGCCUCCCAGGAGGAGUUUUGCUCACUGGUAAGGCAAAGAUAGAAAUGCCUUUGCAACCUUUACUACCUCUCUAUCUGACAAGACAGCUGGGUUUAUAAAUACUUCUCUGGCCAUGGGCGUGGCCUCAGUUUUGCUAAUUGCAGUUUCUCACAUCAUGUGGGUUCAGCUUAGAGACAGGAAAGGAGGCUUUGUUCAGGCACCCCCUUCUCUGCCUCAGAGGUCCUGUUCUCCAUCUGGGUAAAAUGAAGAAAAAUGCUGUAAAUUGAGUUAGUUCAGUCUAAAGCAAACUGGGGGAGAUUCAAGUGAAAAUGGAUCCUUGAAGAAGCUUUUAUGAAAGCCUGGGUGUCACAGCAGAACCUGAUUCUGUUCUGGGAUUUGGGAUGUAGAGUGUGGGGUCUGGCUUCCAGUCCUGAGCAUCUCGUGUGAACUUAUUGGGAUUGUCCCUGGAAUUUCCCGCCCCUCACAUCUUUCCCCUUCCUUGAUUGGUGAAAAAUAUAUUUGUGACAUUUGAAGUUCAGUUGCUCAGUUGUGUCUGACUCUUUGCGACCUCAUGGACUGCUGCACGCCAGGCCUCCCUGUCCAUCACUGAUUCCCAGAGUUUACCCAAACUCAUGUCCAUUGAGUCGAUGAUGCCAUCCAACUAUCUCAUCCUCUGUCGUCCCCUUCUCCUGCCCCCAAUCCCUCCCAGCAUCAGGGUCUUUUCAAAUGACUCAGUUC